GGGUUGUGAGGUUAAGCGACUAAGCGUACACGGUGGAUGCCCUGGCAGUCAGAGGCGAUGAAGGGCGUGCUAAUCUGCGAUAAGCGCCGGUAAGGUGAUAUGAACCGUUAUAACCGGCGAUACCCGAAUGGGGAAACCCAGUGUGACUCGUCACACUAUCAUUAACUGAAUCCAUAGGUUAAUGAGGCGAACCGGGGGAACUGAAACAUCUAAGUACCCCGAGGAAAAGAAAUCAACCGAGAUUCCCCCAGUAGCGGCGAGCGAACGGGGAGGAGCCCAGAGCCUGAAUCAGCAUGUGUGUUAGUGGAAGCGUCUGGAAAGGCGCGCGAUACAGGGUGAUAGCCCCGUACACAAAAGCGCAUGUGUUGUGAGCUCGAUGAGUAGGGCGGGACACGUGGUAUCCUGUCUGAAUAUGGGGGGACCAUCCUCCAAGGCUAAAUACUCCUGACUGACCGAUAGUGAACCAGUACCGUG
Molecule: ribosomal RNA, 474 nt
Filed under: Salmonella enterica
Lineage: Bacteria; Pseudomonadati; Pseudomonadota; Gammaproteobacteria; Enterobacterales; Enterobacteriaceae
Description: partial 23S ribosomal RNA
Rfam family: Bacterial large subunit ribosomal RNA
Source: RNAcentral